UUCUCAGUUGCCAGCACAUAAUGGUGGGCACUCUGUGGAGACUGCCCGGGUUAACCGGGAGGGAAGGUGGGGAUGACGUCAAGUCAUCAUGGCCCUUACGCCUAGGGCUACACACGUACUACAAUGGUGGGUCAAAGGGCAGCGAAACCGCGAGGUCGAGCGAAUCUCAAAAAACCCAUCAUAGUCCGGAUUGCAGUCUGCAACUCGACUGCAUGAAGUUGGAAUCGCUAGUAAUCCCGGAUCAGCAUGCCGGGGUGAAUACGUUCCCGGGCCUU
RNAcentral lists this ribosomal RNA (275 nucleotides) under uncultured Desulfomicrobium sp. Its description in RNAcentral is "partial 16S ribosomal RNA". It matches the Rfam family "Bacterial small subunit ribosomal RNA", at positions 1108 to 1382 of the family's 1533-position model. Lineage: Bacteria; Pseudomonadati; Thermodesulfobacteriota; Desulfovibrionia; Desulfovibrionales; Desulfomicrobiaceae. The record is from RNAcentral.